Molecule: RNA transcript, 2533 nt
Organism: Sinocyclocheilus grahami
Lineage: Eukaryota; Metazoa; Chordata; Actinopteri; Cypriniformes; Cyprinidae
Gene: fto
Gene name: FTO alpha-ketoglutarate dependent dioxygenase
Exons: 11
Source: RefSeq, a predicted model, not a curated record
UGACAACACCAGGUUUACUGUCAUACAAGUUUCAUAUAAUAUCACAAACAUAGCUAAGAUUCUAUUUAAAUCCGCUUAAGAAAAGUUUACACGCUAACGGCACAAUCUAAAGACUACAUCACCCAGCUCUGCGCGCUAUGAAACCGAGGCAGCGUAAACAGUACUUCAGGAACAUGAAAAGAUCGGAUGACAGUGAGAGGGAAAAGAGGAGAAAGAGGCGGAGGCUUAUACAGGAACUGGGAGAGCAGAGGAUUCCCUACCUUUCUCCUGCAGACCCAGGAUUUCAGGAACUGUGGGACUCCAGUUAUGCAGGACUGGCUUUACGACAGUCUAGUGCCCUGCCAGAUGGUCUCCAUGAGAGAGUGCAGUCUGCUUUGAUAACUUUUCAGCGGUGUGGAUGUCUCCUCCGAGAUCUUGUCCGAGUCCGAGACCGGGACGUCUUCACAGCUGUUUCGCGUGCUCUCGUGGGUCAGCCGGGCUACACAUACCGUUAUCUGGACACCCGUCUGUUCACUAUCCCAUGGCACUGUGAGGGAGAAGAAGGCCAGAAAGAUGAGAAAGAGAAACCUUGCUGUGACUCCGACCUGAGGGACGCUUGCAAAGCAUUGUGGGAGCUCAAUCAGUUCUUUUGCUCAGAUGUGACGCAACAGACAAAUGCAAGAGGCGUCAAGCGUUCCCGCAGUGACACCGAAAACAGUGAAGACACACCAGGGGAGGGGAUGUGCGAAGAGAGUGUUAAGGACAGGUUACUUGAGGAGAAGCAGGAGAAAGAGAAGAAGGAGGAAGAGGAAGAAGACAGCGGUCAGGGCUGCUCUCAUUCCUCACCUCCUUCAUCCACUCCGCCACCUGAUGUGGCCGGCCUAGUUCAGUUUAACAUGACCCUCAUCAACUACAUGGACCCCACAGCCAUGACCCAGCUGAAGGAAGAGCCCUAUUAUGGAAUGGGCAAGAUGGCGGUGGGUUGGCAUCAUGACGAGAACCUGGUUCCUCUGUCACCAGUUGCUGUCUACAGCUAUAGCUGCCCAGCAGAGCCAAAGAAUGAAGGGGUGACUGAAAAGGAUGGGGAGGAACAGAGUAAAGACAAAGAAAAAGAAACAGAGACAGAAGGUGAAGGAACAAGUAAAGAAGAACUAAAGAAAGAAAGAGAAGGAUUGGAAAAGGAGGAAGUGCAGAAAGAGAAGGCUUGUUGGCGUGUUGGACUGAAGGUGGCCUGGGACAUCCACACACCAGGUCUGGCUUUGCCUCUCCAGUCUGGAGACUGCUACUAUAUGACAGAUGAUCUGAAUCGGACACAUCAGCACUGUGUACUGGCUGGUGACACGGCUAGAUUUAGCUCCACUCACAGAGUUGUACAGUGUUGUACAGGAACGCUGGACUACAUACAGAAACGCUGCUCAGAGGCCUUGGAGAAUUUACACACCGACCCGGAGAAGAACACCAAGAGCCUGAAGUCCCUCCUCCCCUCCACCCUCCAGCACAUUGAGGACAUCCACAACGAGGUGGAGUUUGAAUGGCUGAGGCAAUACUGGUUCCAGGGCCGACGUUAUGCUCGAUUCUGCAGCUGGUGGACUAAACCCAUGGAACAGAUGGAGAAAGACUGGAAGGAAAUGGAGCGAAUGACUCAGCUGCUGCUGGAUGUGGUGGAGGACGAGAACACGGCACAGGAAAACAGAAGAGAGUUGGCAGACGUUUUGCUGAAUGCCCUGACGGACAGACAGCAGCACAGACAGACAUGGAGGGACAGAUGCCAGUCAAGCCUGGCACAGGCCUUGGCUGCUGAGGAAGCACCUGCCGACCGACCCUAUUGGAGUAAUGAAGAUCCUGACAUGCCCCUCCCCUUUGACCUCUCUGAAAUCAUCAGCCGCGUUGAGUCACUUCUCUGGAGGAUGUAAGGUAUUAGCAAAGGAGGGAGAUAAAUGGAGAUAAAGAAUGUUAUGAGGUGGAUGUUAAGAGAUAGAGGCCGGGAUGGAGAUCACAGAGUAGUGUCGAUAGGCGGCUCUUGCUGUGCUCUCCAAGAGAACUUACACCCCUUGCUUCGCAUAAUUCUCACAGCUCAUUGACUCCUAACGUUUCAAUAACCCCUGCCUAUGUCUGAAAUGCUGCCAGUUUCGGGAGGAAUGCACUCAAACAUCUUUAAACGAUUGAAGGAUGAAGAAAAGCACUCAGAUGUCCUCUAAACGACUGAAGGAUGAAUGAAAAAGGGAUGACUGUUGAAGUCCAGCAGCUUUCUUUUUAUUUUUAUGUUUUUCUAUGUCAUCAGUGUUAAUGUAGAAGAUCCAUAUUAUAGUAUUCAAUGAAGAUGCUUAAAUGUGUUUUAUACUUUUGAAGUUUUAGAGUUGACAUUGGUUGCCAAAUAUUGUGUUCUUGCUGAGUAAAUGCUGUGAGGUUGGUAUAUAAAUAUAUAAUCUUUCUUUCAUUGUGUUUUUUUUUGCUGUAUUCUUUCUUCGAAUUGCCACAAGCCCCACUGCUUUUCUGAAAGCUUUGUGUGUGCAAAGCACUGGUUAUGAUUGAAAUAAAAUACAAUUCUGGUUUA